Molecule: long non-coding RNA, 251 nt
Filed under: Lathyrus oleraceus (garden pea)
Lineage: Eukaryota; Viridiplantae; Streptophyta; Magnoliopsida; Fabales; Fabaceae
Description: Pisum sativum (pea) long non-coding RNA (PSAT_LNC032799)
Source: RNAcentral
UUUAUUUUGCUUUUUAUCAUAUUGUGCAUCAUCCAUCCCAUUCUAAAAUGAAUCUAAAAAUGGUUAAGACUUUAAAAAAUGAAAAAGGAUAAUAAUUUCCCAAGCAUGGAGAGAACUUUGGACAAUGGACUUAGAGACUCAUUAGGACCCUUUGCAAAAGAAACAUUGGACAAAUGUGACCUAACAUGGAAGAAGAGUGCAAGAAUCAAGAAGAAUUUGUAAUAUCAAUUAUAAUCUUUUACUUGCUUUCC